GGGAAGGUGGUUCAGUAGUAGAGUGCUUGCCUUACAUGCAAGCGACCCUGGGUUCGAUUCCUCAGUUCCA
RNAcentral lists this transfer RNA (70 nucleotides) under Dipodomys ordii (Ord's kangaroo rat). It matches the Rfam family "tRNA". Rfam says of the family: Transfer RNA (tRNA) molecules are approximately 80 nucleotides in length. The record is from Rfam by way of RNAcentral. Lineage: Eukaryota; Metazoa; Chordata; Mammalia; Rodentia; Heteromyidae.